GGGUCUUGGGAGGCGGUCUAAAGCCUUUGAAAUCGGAAAAGACAGAGCGCGAGCGAGCCGUCAGAGGAAUCUGAGGCAACGCAGGCAGUCCUGAUCCUAUGAGUCUCUGGAUAAGGAACAUUGAAGCAUGUGGAUGGGGCCAUGCCGAUGAUCCUUACUACAAGAAGAAUCCUGCUUCAGGUACUAUAUCCAACAGGCUCAGGCAGUUGAUAUGGUGAACAUGACUGACCAGGAGCACACAAAAACUGGUGGUCUGGGAGAGCAGUCACUUGCUGCUAGUUCUCCAGAAUCUCUGCCAUCCAUGGAAACCAAAAGAAUGGAUGCUGAAAUAGUCAACUCCAUGCACUGUCAGAAUAAAUCUGAGCCGAUCUCCCUGGGUCCAAGUUGAUACUACAGUACAUGAGCCCAUAGCUUUCAUCAGAAUCUCAGAAGAGCCCAAGACCCCCCAGAAGGUUAAGAACUUUUGACAUAGAAGCUUAAGGAUUAGAGCAGCUGCAGGGUGGUGAAGUAAUCAGCAAAUCAGGACAUCAUACAGAGUGCUCACCAGUGACAGCCUUCUGUGCAGCCCACAGCUCCCAACUGACACCAUGGAGACCUCACAUCCUACUGAAAUUCUAUCUCUCCUUAAAUCUAUGAGCCUCUUCUCUACUUCCUCUUUGCCUGGUUCCCCCGUGUCACCAUCAUCCUUUUUUGUCUCCCUAGUCUUCUUCUCUUCCUUACUUGCUGUUCUUUCCCUCUCAUGCACACUCUCUUUUCCUUCAUUCCCUGCUGGCCUGAUAAUAUGGAACUGAAGCAUAUUCUUAGUAUACUCAGUACAUUCCA
Molecule: long non-coding RNA, 822 nt
Organism: Sciurus carolinensis (gray squirrel)
Lineage: Eukaryota; Metazoa; Chordata; Mammalia; Rodentia; Sciuridae
Exons: 3
Source: RefSeq, a predicted model, not a curated record